RNAcentral lists this ribosomal RNA (509 nucleotides) under uncultured bacterium. RNAcentral describes it as "bacterial SSU rRNA". It matches the Rfam family "Bacterial small subunit ribosomal RNA", at positions 32 to 519 of the family's 1533-position model. The record is from RNAcentral.
AAUCAACGCUGGCGGCGUGCCUCAGACAUGCAAGUCGAACGAGAACCUCCCUUCGGGGGAGGAGACAGUGGCGCACGGGUGAGUAACACGUGGGUAAUUUACCUUUGGGUGGGGAACAACAGCCGGAAACGGCUGCUAAUACCGCAUAAUGCAGCGGCUCGACAUCGAGACAGUUGUUAAAGCGGGGGAUCGCAAGACCUCGCGCCUGAAGAGAAGCCUGCGGCGGAUUAGCUAGUUGGUAGGGUAAUGGCCUACCAAGGCGACGAUCUGUAACCGGCCUGAGAGGGCGGUCGGUCACACUGACACUGACAUACGGGUCAGACUCCUACGGGAGGCAGCAGUCGGGAAUUUUGGGCAAUGGGCGAAAGCCUGACCCAGCAACGCCGCGUGAAGGAUGAAGCUUUCGGAGUGUAAACUUCAUAAGAAUGGGAAGAAUAAGUGUGGGAUAAUACCCUUCACGAUGACGGUACCAUUUGUAAGCUCCGGCUAACUCCGUGCCAGCAGCCGCC